Vigna angularis (adzuki bean) is the source of this 686-nucleotide RNA transcript. RefSeq lists it as uncharacterized. The transcript has 4 exons. Lineage: Eukaryota; Viridiplantae; Streptophyta; Magnoliopsida; Fabales; Fabaceae. The record is from RefSeq and is a predicted model, not a curated record.
AGGCUCUAAGCCUUCCCCUGUUCAAGCAACAAAAAUAGAAAACUAACAUCCAGUUGAAUAACUGGAUGCUUUUUCAUCAAUAUCUCUAAUAUGAUCUCACUGCCAACUCUUCUUGUCCACUCCCAGAUGUGGAUAUUAACCGUGGUUAUGCAGAUUUGUCAAGUGGAGGUACACAAAGAAGCACCAGUCCUGCAGAAACCAAUCUUCACCAACCAUCGAAGAAGACUCAGGGCCUGUUUGAAAGAAGUGGAAAAGGAAAAAGGGAGGGAGACCAUACGAGUUGUAAGAUUUCCCCUCUUUACCAAUUCUCCCAAAGAGACCCUUAGUGUUCUCAGACAACAACUGUUCCUGUUCCUUUCCAGAAAUUAACUUGCCAUAACAUCAUAGCUUCUUCCUAAACUUUCCUUUGCCAAAAGUCUUUGCAGAGUGCAUUGGAAUCCAUAUUUCAGAUGCUUAUUUAUGGAUAAAGGAUAACUGAGCUGCACAAUAUGCACAUGCUUGUAACACACAUUUCAAAUUCCUCUAAUAAUCACGUCUCCAAAUUGCUCAACAAAUAGUAGAAGAGAUCUCAACUCAGGGCACAAAGUAAACAUGUCAUCUGCGAUGAUACAAAAAACUCUCAAUAACCUAUAAUGCUUAUGUUCCACUCCUGCAAUGUUCUAAAGAGUUUAUUGGAUCCUUCACCA